Molecule: transfer RNA, 85 nt
Filed under: Deltaproteobacteria bacterium
Lineage: Bacteria; Pseudomonadati; Myxococcota; Myxococcia
Description: tRNA-Ser
Rfam family: tRNA
About the family: Transfer RNA (tRNA) molecules are approximately 80 nucleotides in length. Their secondary structure includes four short double-helical elements and three loops (D, anti-codon, and T loops). Further hydrogen bonds mediate the characteristic L-shaped molecular structure. tRNAs have two regions of fundamental functional importance: the anti-codon, which is responsible for specific mRNA codon recognition, and the 3' end, to which the tRNAs corresponding amino acid is attached (by aminoacyl-tRNA synthetases). tRNAs cope with the degeneracy of the genetic code in two manners: having more than one tRNA (with a specific anti-codon) for a particular amino acid; and 'wobble' base-pairing, i.e. permitting non-standard base-pairing at the 3rd anti-codon position.
Source: RNAcentral
GGAGAGGUGACUGAGUGGCCGAAAGUGCUCGCCUCGAAAGCGAGUGUACCUUCGGGUACCGUGGGUUCGACUCCCACCCUCUCCG